Molecule: ribosomal RNA, 706 nt
Filed under: uncultured bacterium
Lineage: Bacteria
Description: bacterial SSU rRNA
Rfam family: Bacterial small subunit ribosomal RNA
Source: RNAcentral
UAGCUUUGAUCCUGGCUCAGAGCGAACGCUGGCGGCAGGCCUAACACAUGCAAGUCGAGCGCCCCGCAAGGGGAGCGGCAGACGGGAGAGUAACACGUGGGAACGUACCCUUCAGUUCGGAACAACCCAGGGAAACUUGGGCUAAUACCGAAUACGUCCGUAAGGAGAAAGAUUUAUCGCUGAAGGAUCGGCCCGCGUCUGAUUAGCUUGUUGGUGAGGUAACGGCUCACCAAGGCUACGAUCAGUAGCUGGUCUGAGAGGAUGAUCACCCUCACUGGGACUGAGACACGGCCCAGACUCCUACGGGAGGCAGCAGUGGGGAAUAUUGGACAAUGGGCGCAAGCCUGAUCCAGCCAUGCCGCGUGGGUGAUGAAGGCCCUAGGGUUGUAAAGCCCUUUCGGCGGGAAAGAUAAUGACGGUACCCGCAGAAGAAGCCCCGGCUAACUUCGUGCCAGCAGCCGCGGUAAUUGCGAAGGGGGCUAGCGUUGCUCGGAAUCACUGGGCGUAAAGCGCACGUAGGCGGGUUCUUAAGUCAGGGGUGAAAUCCUGGAGCUCAACUCCAGAACUGCCCUUGAUACUGGGAAUCUUGAGUCCGGGAGAGGUGAGUGGAACUGCGAGUGUAGAGGUGAAAUUCGUAUAUNUUCGCAAGAACACCAGUGGCGAAGGCGGCUCACUGGCCCGGUACUGACGCUGAGGUGCGAAAGCG